Molecule: unclassified non-coding RNA, 301 nt
Filed under: Hevea brasiliensis (rubber tree)
Lineage: Eukaryota; Viridiplantae; Streptophyta; Magnoliopsida; Malpighiales; Euphorbiaceae
Source: RNAcentral
GAAGCCGGUUCACAGCCAUUCUAUGCAGAAUCUCCAAGGACAGGGAUCUAAUCCAUUAACUGAUCCAGAAAGACAGACUUUGACGGAUGACAUGGAGAGGCUUCAACGCGAGAAAGAAGCGCUUGUCGCGGAGAUACAGAGGCAUGAACAAGAGACACAAGGAUUUGAGAUGCAAAUGCAAGAUCUGAAGGAGAAAUUGCAACAGAUGGAGAGAAGGCAGCAAACUAUUGUGUCUUUUGUGGCCCAGGUCUUGCAGAAACCUGGGCUUGCUUUAAAUCUCAUGUCACAGUUGGAACCAGGC